RNAcentral lists this ribosomal RNA (490 nucleotides) under uncultured bacterium. RNAcentral describes it as "bacterial SSU rRNA". It matches the Rfam family "Bacterial small subunit ribosomal RNA", at positions 355 to 861 of the family's 1533-position model. The record is from RNAcentral.
UAACGAAUCUUCCACAAUGCGCGAAAGCGUGAUGGAGCAAUGCCGCGUGCAGGAUGAAGCCCUUCGGGGUGUAAACUGCUGUCAGGGGUUAGCAACACAAUGAGCAGCCCCAAAGGAAGAGACGACUAACUCUGUGCCAGCAGUCGCGGUAAUACAGAGGUCUCGAGCGUUAGACGGAUUCAUUGGGCUUAAAGCGUACGUAGGCGGGCGUGCAGGCGUCGUGUGAAAGCCCUCGGCUCAACCGGGGAAUUGCACGGCGAACCGCACGUCUUGAGACAAGUAGGGGCGGCCGGAACGAUAGGUGGAGUGGUGAAAUGCGUUGAUAUCUAUCGGAACGCCAAUGGUGAAGACAGGCCGCUGGGCUUGUUCUGACGCUGAGGUACGAAAGCGUGGGGAGCGAACGGGAUUAGAUACCCCGGUAGUCCACGCCGUAAACGAUGUGCACUAGAUCGAGGAGGUUCUGAUACUUUCUCGGCCGAAGUAAAACGUU